GGGCAUGUAGCGCAGUUGGUAGCGCGCUCGCUUAGCAACAAGUUGGGAUUUGAACCCUGCUUACGUAACUCGCGUGCGAGAGGUCUCCAGUUCAAACCCGGACUUGUCCA
Ceratobasidium sp. 423 is the source of this 110-nucleotide non-coding RNA. Lineage: Eukaryota; Fungi; Basidiomycota; Agaricomycetes; Cantharellales; Ceratobasidiaceae. The record is from the annotation of a GenBank genome assembly.